RNAcentral lists this unclassified non-coding RNA (329 nucleotides) under plant metagenome. Its description in RNAcentral is "partial contains 5.8S ribosomal RNA, internal transcribed spacer 2, and large subunit ribosomal RNA". The stretch from base 1 to 105 matches the Rfam family "5.8S ribosomal RNA", at positions 50 to 154 of the family's 154-position model. The record is from RNAcentral.
GAAAUGCGAUAAGUAAUGUGAAUUGCAGAAUUCCGUGAAUCAUCGAAUCUUUGAACGCACAUCGCGCCCUCUGGUAUUCCGGGGGGCAUGCCUGUCCGAGCGUCAUUGCGAACCCCUCAAGCACGGCUUGUGUGAUGGGCCCUCCCGCGUCUUGGUCGUCAAGACGGGCCCGAAAUGCAGUGGCGGCUUCGCGGUUAUCCGAUCAGCCAGAGCGUAUGGGGACUUUCUCUCUGUCACACGCCCGCGGCGCGGACCGACGCCUGUCGACCUUCAUUCAUCGUUUUCUCGGUUGACCUCGGAUCAGGUAGGGAUACCCGCUGAACUUAAGC